RNAcentral lists this ribosomal RNA (460 nucleotides) under uncultured bacterium. RNAcentral's name for it is "partial 16S ribosomal RNA". It matches the Rfam family "Bacterial small subunit ribosomal RNA", at positions 338 to 795 of the family's 1533-position model. The record is from RNAcentral.
CCUACGGGAGGCAGCAGUGAGGAAUAUUGGUCAAUGGGCGGGAGCCUGAACCAGCCAAGUCGCGUGAGGGAUGACGGCCCUAUGGGUUGUAAACCUCUUUUGCCGGGGAGCAAAGUGCCGCACGUGUGCGGUUUGGAGAGUACCCGGAGAAAAAGCAUCGGCUAACUACGGGCCAGCAGCCGCGGUAAUACGUAGGUGGCAAGCGUUGUCCGGAUUUACUGGGUGUAAAGGGCGUGCAGCCGGAGAGACAAGUCAGAUGUGAAAUCCACGGGCUCAACCCGUGAACUGCAUUUGAAACUGUUUCCCUUGAGUGUCGGAGCGGUAAUCGGAAUUCCUAGUGUAGCGGUGAAAUGCGUAGAUAUUAGGAAGAACACCAGUGGCGAAGGCGGAUUACUGGACGAUAACUGACGGUGAGGCGCGAAAGCGUGGGGAGCAAACAGGAUUAGAUACCCGAGUAGUC